AGGUGAGCGUUUUCAAGCCCAUCCCCCGGGGGGAGGCUGGAGCCCGGAGCGGGCCGGCUACCCAGGAGCGCAGGCCCCGCCUCCCGGGGCUCGGCGCUCGCGGCCCGGGUGGGGAGGUCAUUAUCUGGCGCUCCCAGGCCCGCGCGGCUCACGUGGCCGCGGCUCAGAGCCUCCCGGGUCCCAGGGCCGCUCAGCUCGCGAGGAGAUAAGCUCCGGCGCCCCCAGUGCGUGUCCGGCGCGGGCGGCCGGGGCUCCAGGCCCCCACCCCGCCCCUCGGGCCGGCCCGGCCCACUUGGCCCAGCUUCCUCUCCAUAAAAGGCGAGGUUUGGGAGCGCCCGGGGAGGGGGUGCUGGCCCCAUAGGCCCGGCCGGAGAGGGUGGCCGGAGCUGCCCACCCCCGGCCCACCCCCCCAGGGAGCCGCCGCGGGCCUGGGGGACUCAGGGUGGGGAGGGGGGGCGCAGCCCAGCGCCCGAAUUUUCUAAAUCGCUGCCUCUAUCUUCCCAGACCGCCACCCCGAGCGGGCUCCCCGCUCCAAACCGGACCCCCUGGAGUCUCCCCGUUGUGCAUGUGAACUCAGUGAGGCCCGCAGCGUGGCAGGGCCGGGGGCGGGGGCGAGGGCGGAAGAACAGCUGGAAACGCCAGCGUGCCCCACGGUCAAGCUGCGACGCAGGAAGGAGUGAAGCAAGGAGCCGGGAGUUGGACGCAGUGGUCAACCUCUCUGACCCUCAGUUUCUUCUUCUGUAUGAUGGGCCAGCAUCAUCGCUCUGGGGCAGGCCCUGCCUCCCCCAGGCUUGCUGGACAAGAAGUGGCUGUGGGAAAGCAUCCAGCAAGAGGAGUGUCCUUAGCUGCCCAGGGCCCAGCCGUCACCCACCCACUGAACUCUCCAGCGGCAGCCUCCCAGCCACCCUACUGGGGUGAACAUUUCUCCGCCCCUUUUCCCGAUGAGGAAACUGAGGAAGCUUGGGCUCCAUGGAGAUGGGCUCUACCAGUGUCCGGUCCGCGGAGACGACACAGGGGGAUUGUGCCACUGGACUGGGCUGGAUUUACGGACGUGAGUGUGCAUCCCGGAGUCAGGAUGUAACGCGUCAGCGGGUGCAGCUCAAAGGGCCUCCAACAAUUUGCUUGGUCUGUUGUCUGAAGUUACAUCCCAUCCCAUCAGUGGUCUACAUUCAUUGAGGCAGGCAUGAGAGAACUUCCCAGGCAUGAUGGGAGGAAGAAUCAGAAGAAAGUGAUUUAGCACGUGUGACUUGCAUGCCUCUGAGAAAUAUAUCAGCAAGGCAAUGCCAGCGUUCCCCGGGCUCCAGCAACCAUCCUCUCUGGGCUGCCGUGAGGGGGCGGUGUUCCACUGCCAUGGGCUUCUGAUCCCAGGGGGCUGAUGCCAUCCUGAAGGGCAGAGUCCAAGCACCGGCCCUUAAGUGCUAGAGUUAAGGUGGGCAAGUGACACAGAGAUGGGUCUAUUUCCAGAAAGUUCUGGCCUGCAGGAAAUUUGGAUGACAGCUAAUGGAUCGUGGUGUCCUUAGGAAUGAAGUAGAUUUGCCACAUACUAACUGAUCACUUGAGUUAUAAAAUUGGAAAACUGGGGAUCUGUUGGGCAGAAAUCCCACUGGAGUCCAUACACCCUAGAGUUUCUAGGGUUGAGGCAUGUAAGUAUUCAACGUAUAAUAAAGAAAUACUUUUGUUGGUCACUGUAUCACACAUUUGCAUUUUCAACUUGUGCUUGCCAGGGCUAAGUCGUUCAGUCGUGUCCGACUCUGUGCGACCCUAUGGCCUGUGGCCCGCCAGGCUCCUCUGUCCAUGGGAUUCUCCAGAGAAGAAUACUGGAGUGCGUUGCCAUGCCCUCCUCCAGAGGAUCUUGCCAACCUAGGGAUCGAACCUGUGUCUCUUAUAUCUCCUGCGUUGUCAGGGAGGUUCUUUACCACCGGCGCCACCUGGGAAGCCCCUCAACUUGUUGACAACUGCUAUUGCUACAGUAUCCUUUUUUCAUUUCUUUGUAAUUCUAUGCAUUUUAUUUUAUGCAUUGAAAGGCAUGAUUCUUAUUGUCUGUGAACGGAUGACUGGAUCAACAAAAUGGGUGUGGUAUAUAUAUAUAUAUAUAUAUAUAUAUAUACCUAUAAAUAUAAAAUAGAAUAUGAUUCUGCUUUUUAAAGGGAAAGAAAUUCUGACAUAUGCCACAAGGUGGAUGAACCUUGAGGACAUUAUGCCAAGUGAUUAAAACAGUCACAAAAAGACAAAAACUGUACAAUUUCACUGACCUGAAACAGCUACAUAGUCAAACAGAAAGUAGAAGCGUGGUUAGCAGGGUCUGGGGCUCUGGGGCCAGGGUGAAAAGGGGAAUUUAUUGAGUAUAGAGUUUCAGGUUUGCAAAACGAAAAACUUCUGGAAAGUUGUUUCUCAAGUGUGAAUGUCUUACUGCUAGGAAGCUGCAGUUAAAAUGGGCUCAGUCAGUUCAGUCACUCAGUUGUGUCCAACUCUUUGCAACCCCAUGGACUGCAGCACACCA
This is a long non-coding RNA of Bubalus bubalis (water buffalo), 2500 nucleotides long. RefSeq lists it as uncharacterized. The transcript has 4 exons. The record is from RefSeq and is a predicted model, not a curated record. Lineage: Eukaryota; Metazoa; Chordata; Mammalia; Artiodactyla; Bovidae.